CGCUGGCGGCGUGCUUAACACAUGCAAGUCACGGGGGCCCGCAAGGGCAACCGGCGAACGGGUGCGUAACACGUGAGCAAGUUACCGAUUUCUGGGGGAUAGCCGGCCCAACGGCCGGGUAAUACCGCAUACGUUCACUGGACGGCAUCGUCCGGUGAGGAAACCUCCGGGGGAAAUCGAGACGCUCGCGGCCUAUCAGCUAGUUGGCGGGGUAACGGCCCACCAAGGCGAUGACGGGUAGCUGGUCUGAGAGGAUGGCCAGCCACAUUGGGACUGCGACACGGCCCAGACUCCUACGGGGGGCAGCAGUGGGGAAUAUUGCGCAAUGGACGAAAGUCUGACGCAGCGACGCCGCGUGUGGGAUGAAGCUCUUCGGGGUGUAAACCACUGUUGCCCGGGACGAAACCCUCCUUUCGAGGAGAUUGACGGUACCGGGUGAGGAAGCACCGGCUAACUCUGUGCCAGCAGCCGCGGUAAUACAGAGGGUGCGAGCGUUGUCCGGAAUCACUGGGCGUAAAGGGCGCGUAGGUGGCUUGGUAAGCGUGUGGUGAAAGUCCGGGGCUCAACCCCGGAUCUGCCGUGCGAACUGCUGAGCUUGAGCAUUGUAGAGGCAGGUGGAAUUCCGGGUGUAGCGGUGGAAUGCGUAGAGAUCCGGAAGAACACCAGUGGCGAAGGCGGCCUGCUGGGCAAUAGCUGACACUGAGGCGCGACAGCGUGGGGAGCAAACAGGAUUAGAUACCCUGGUAGUCCACGCCGUAAACGAUGGGUACUAGGUGUCUGGGGGAGCGACCCCCUGGGUGCCGGCGCUAACGCAUGAAGUACCCCGCCUGGGGAGUACGGCCGCAAGGCUGAAACUCAAAGGAAUUGACGGGGGCCCGCACAAGCGGUGGAGCAUGUGGUUUAAUUCGACGCAACGCGAAGAACCUUACCUAGGCUUGACAUGCUGGAGAAAGCUUGCGGAAACGUGAGCCCCUCUUCGGAGUUCCAGCACAGAUGCUGCAUGGCUGUCGUCAGCUCGUGUCGUGAGAUGUUGGGUUAAGUCCCGCAACGAGCGCAACCCUCACCCUUAGUUACCAGCGGGUAAAGCCGGGGACUCUAGGGGGACUGCCGGUGCCAAACCGGAGGAAGGUGGGGAUGACGUCAAGUCAUCAUGGCUCUUACGUCUAGGGCUACACACGUGCUACAAUGGGCCGGACAGAGGGUCGCCAACUCGCGAGAGUGCGCCAAUCCCCAAACCGGUCCUCAGUUCGGAUUGUAGUCUGCAACUCGACAACAUGAAGCUGGAAUCGCUAGUAAUCGUAGAUCAGCUACGCUACGGUGAAUACGUUCCCGGGCCUUGUACACACCGCCCGUCACGCCAUGGAAGUUGUGAGCGCCCGAAGUCGGUGUCGGAACCCGCAAGGGACCAAGCCGCCUAAGGCAAGCGCAAUGACUGGGGCGA
This 1441-nucleotide ribosomal RNA is filed under the name uncultured organism. RNAcentral's name for it is "SSU rRNA". It matches the Rfam family "Bacterial small subunit ribosomal RNA". The record is from RNAcentral.